This 709-nucleotide ribosomal RNA is filed under the name bacterium. RNAcentral describes it as "bacterial SSU rRNA". It matches the Rfam family "Bacterial small subunit ribosomal RNA", at positions 74 to 795 of the family's 1533-position model. The record is from RNAcentral.
CCCAGCUUGCUGGGUGGAUUAGUGGCGAACGGGUGAGUAAUACGUGAGUAACCUGCCCUUGACUCUGGGAUAAGCCUGGGAAACUGGGUCUAAUACUGGAUACUACCUCUCAUCGCAUGGUGGGGGGUGGAAAGGGUUUUACUGGUUUUGGAUGGGCUCACGGCCUAUCAGCUUGUUGGUGGGGUAAUGGCUCACCAAGGCGACGACGGGUAGCCGGCCUGAGAGGGUGACCGGCCACACUGGGACUGAGACACGGCCCAGACUCCUACGGGAGGCAGCAGUGGGGAAUAUUGCACAAUGGGCGAAAGCCUGAUGCAGCGACGCCGCGUGAGGGAUGACGGCCUUCGGGUUGUAAACCUCUUUCAGUAGGGAAGAAGCGCAAGUGACGGUACCUGCAGAAGAAGCGCCGGCUAACUACGUGCCAGCAGCCGCGGUAAUACGUAGGGCGCAAGCGUUGUCCGGAAUUAUUGGGCGUAAAGAGCUCGUAGGCGGUUUGUCGCGUCUGCUGUGAAAGCCCGGGGCUCAACCCCGGGUCUGCAGUGGGUACGGGCAGACUAGAGUGCAGUAGGGGAGACUGGAAUUCCUGGUGUAGCGGUGAAAUGCGCAGAUAUCAGGAGGAACACCGAUGGCGAAGGCAGGUCUCUGGGCUGUUACUGACGCUGAGGAGCGAAAGCAUGGGGAGCGAACAGGAUUAGAUACCCUGGUAGUC